Molecule: ribosomal RNA, 102 nt
Filed under: Nicotiana sylvestris (wood tobacco)
Lineage: Eukaryota; Viridiplantae; Streptophyta; Magnoliopsida; Solanales; Solanaceae
Also listed under: 1 other name
Source: RNAcentral
GGAUGCGAUCGUACCAGUGCACUGGAUUCCAUCAGAACUUUAAAUUUAAGCGUGCUUGGGCGAGAGUAGUAGUAGGAUGGACAAGUCCCCGUGUUGUAUCCC